This 99-nucleotide non-coding RNA is filed under the name Paenibacillus sp. Its description in RNAcentral is "c-di-GMP sequence". It matches the Rfam family "c-di-GMP-I riboswitch aptamer". From Rfam's summary of the family: GEMM was predicted in a large-scale screen for bacterial structured RNA regulatory elements. Genes associated with GEMM are involved in a diverse array of functions, including chemotaxis regulation, signal transduction, secretion and chitin. Lineage: Bacteria; Bacillati; Bacillota; Bacilli; Caryophanales; Paenibacillaceae. The record is from RNAcentral.
GUACGAUAAAAGCAAACCCGUUGAAAGGCGGGGACGCAAAGCUAAUAGGGGCUAAAGGAUUUGCCAAAAUGCAAAUACUCAUGCCAGCCAGCUGCCGAA